Molecule: ribosomal RNA, 115 nt
Filed under: Escherichia coli
Lineage: Bacteria; Pseudomonadati; Pseudomonadota; Gammaproteobacteria; Enterobacterales; Enterobacteriaceae
Description: partial 16S ribosomal RNA
Rfam family: Bacterial small subunit ribosomal RNA
Source: RNAcentral
UUAAAUUGAAGAGUUUGAUCAUGGCUCAGAUUGAACGCUGGCGGCAGGCCUAACACAUGCAAGUCGAACGGUAACAGGAAGAAGGUUGGUUCCUGGCGAGAGAGGGGCGGGCGGG